RNAcentral lists this ribosomal RNA (680 nucleotides) under uncultured bacterium. Its description in RNAcentral is "bacterial SSU rRNA". It matches the Rfam family "Bacterial small subunit ribosomal RNA", at positions 140 to 807 of the family's 1533-position model. The record is from RNAcentral.
GGGAUAACACUUGGAAACAGGUGCUAAUACCGCAUAACCAUAGUUACCGCAUGGUAACUAUGUAAAAGGUGGCUAUGCUACCGCUUUUGGAUGGGCCCGCGGCGCAUUAGCUAGUUGGUGGGGUAAAGGCUUACCAAGGCAAUGAUGCGUAGCCGAACUGAGAGGUUGAUCGGCCACAUUGGGACUGAGACACGGCCCAAACUCCUACGGGAGGCAGCAGUAGGGAAUCUUCCACAAUGGGCGAAAGCCUGAUGGAGCAACGCCGCGUGGGUGAAGAAGGUCUUCGGAUCGUAAAACCCUGUUGUUAGAGAAGAAAGUGCGUGAGAGUAACUGUUCACGUUUCGACGGUAUCUAACCAGAAAGCCACGGCUAACUACGUGCCAGCAGCCGCGGUAAUACGUAGGUGGCAAGCGUUAUCCGGAUUUAUUGGGCGUAAAGGGAACGCAGGCGGUCUUUUAAGUCUGAUGUGAAAGCCUUCGGCUUAACCGGAGUAGUGCAUUGGAAACUGGGAGACUUGAGUGCAGAAGAGGAGAGUGGAACUCCAUGUGUAGCGGUGAAAUGCGUAGAUAUAUGGAAGAACACCAGUGGCGAGAGCGGCUCUCUGGUCUGUAACUGACGCUGAGGUUCGAAAGCGUGGGUAGCAAACAGGAUUAGAUACCCUGGUAGUCCACGCCGUAAAC